Gorilla gorilla gorilla (western lowland gorilla) is the source of this 409-nucleotide long non-coding RNA. RefSeq lists it as uncharacterized. The record is from RefSeq and is a predicted model, not a curated record. The transcript has 3 exons. NCBI's taxonomy places the organism in Eukaryota, Metazoa, Chordata, Mammalia, Primates, Hominidae.
GUCUUGGCCCAGGCAGAAGAGUUACAUCGCCUAGGUACCAGGUCCAGGCAAAGUGUAACAUCACCUACGUGCUGGACCCAGGUACAUGCCACAAUCUACCCUCUGGGCGGGACCCAGGAGGAAGAGCAACACAACUCAGAAGAUGGGUUCAGGUGGAGUGGCUCACACCAGUAAUUCCAGAACUUUGGGAGGCCGAGGCAGACAGAUCACCCGAGGUCAGGAGUUCGAGACCAGCCUGGCCAACACGGCAAAACCCCAUCCCUACUAAAAAUACAAAAAUUAACUGAGCAUGGUGGCAGGUGCCUGUAAUCCCAGCUACUCAGAGGGCUGAGGCAGAAGAAUUGCUCGAACCUGGGAGGCAGAUGUUGAGCUGAGUUCACGCCACUGUGCUCAAGCCUGGGUGACAGAG